Larimichthys crocea (large yellow croaker) is the source of this 243-nucleotide long non-coding RNA. RefSeq lists it as uncharacterized. The record is from RefSeq and is a predicted model, not a curated record. Lineage: Eukaryota; Metazoa; Chordata; Actinopteri; Sciaenidae. The transcript is spliced from 2 exons.
UCUCUUCUCCUUUUUUUCAAGAAUCCAUAUUUUAAUAACAGCAGCGAAGAACUGAGAGGACUUUUUACAUCAUGGAGGUUGUGGUUGGCAUACUAAAUGUUUUCCACAAUGAAGCCAGUGGAUGGUCCGUCACACUCAGCCUAUUCCUUGUCUUCCUUGGUCUUCUCUACUGGUAUUCAGUUUACCCCUUUUCAGUGCUCUCUCGAUGUGGCAUCAAGCAUCCAAAGCCAAUACCUUUCUUUG